UGUCAUCAUCCAGGCAGCUGAGCUCCUAGAGGGAGGUCACCCUGCUGAUUUCAUGGACUUGUCAAUCGGCUGUAGGAGACUCAAGUUUAAAUUCUGCAAGCUGAUGGCAGACCUGACGUCAUGUAUUCACCUUAACAGAAAUGCUGUGAUUAGAAUGUUAAAUCAAAUGUAUCCAGAAAUGAAGACUUGUCUUACGAAACCAGGACUGCAUCCAGAAGCGGAAAAAACAACUUUGGGGGAUGGUUUAAUAAUUGCCUGUGGUAGGACUUGUCUCACAUUCAUUAAAAAGUCUAGGUAA
Molecule: long non-coding RNA, 298 nt
Organism: Hyaena hyaena (striped hyena)
Lineage: Eukaryota; Metazoa; Chordata; Mammalia; Carnivora; Hyaenidae
Exons: 3
Source: RefSeq, a predicted model, not a curated record